Molecule: long non-coding RNA, 1850 nt
Organism: Amphiprion ocellaris (clown anemonefish)
Lineage: Eukaryota; Metazoa; Chordata; Actinopteri; Pomacentridae
Source: Ensembl
CCAGAGAGCAGUGAUUGGUCAGACCAUAGAUAAUAUAGAAGACAGCGCGCUAGCGUAUCUAGUCUGUGUAUAUCUAUGGUCGGCAGGUCUGGUAGCAUCUGUGGCUGCUGUUGAUCUUGUUUUUGGAGUAAAACACGAUGUUCAGAGGGAGAUGAUGCCACAUCUGGUCCAGCUGAUGGAAGGUCUUGAAGUUCUCUGACUGGCCUCGACUGAAGAUGGUCGUCUCACUGGAUUUAAGGUUCAGAUGCUCAGUAACAAACUCCACCAAUGAGCCAACAGGGAAGCUAUGCACAAGGAGGGACGUCUGCAGAGACUGAGAAAGAGUCUCACCACAUCCUGACAUGAGGAAAAAGACUUUAUUGAAGACUACAAUGAGAAAAACUAUCAGACAGCAGACGGCUGCAUUCAAGAGAGGAAGACCAUCAAACAUCCACGUCAGCUGAUGGAGGUCCAAGAGUCUCACCAAACAACCAACCUACAGAGUGAAGACCUCAAAUCUGAUUGGACGGCCUCCUAUUCAGCCACAUUUUAGGCUGUUAGAUUGUUCCAGAUAAGACAAGUACAAGAUUCUUCAGAGCUGUUCUACCACGAGCCUGACAGGAAGAACUCCAACAGCUACUGAAUGUUCCUGUGGUCCCCUCAAGGCUACAGGAGGAGUCCUACGAGGACGAGUCGGUCCACCUGAUGCAGGCCAGUCACUGCUGUUCAAAGCCAACACAGACUACGUGGACUUCUACUGGACCACAUGGAGGCCUUCAAACCGGACCAACAAGUUCACCGACUCCCCGACUCGUGGGUCUGAGGACGCUGCCGAGCCUCGGUCCAGCCGGCCUCCUGUCUGUGGAUGUUUGAGUGCUGAGAGGUUUGUGGAUGCAUGUGAACAUUCUGUGUUGAAACAGCAGCUUUUAACUCAGUAACGCCAGGAAAAACCAAGAGCUCCUUUAUUUGUGACUUCCACUAAAAAAUUGAUGAAAAUAAGUUUGCCAGGGUUCUGACUGAUAACGGAUUAUUAAAUAAUGAAAGUAAUCGUUUAAAUAUUCCUUUAAACAGUCCUUUUAGGUCUACAUUUCCUUUACACUGACUUCUUGGUACAUGUACAAGUAUUUUGGGUGGAAUAUACCAUUAAGCCUGAUGUUCAAGGGUUCUUCUGGGAAUAUACCAUUAAACCAACAUUUUAGGUAAAUGUUCCAGGAUGUUGGGUAGAAUAUACCAUCAGAUCAACCUUUUAGGUCUACAUUGGAAGAUUUUGGAGUAGAAUAUUACUCCAAACCAUCCUUUAGGUCUACAUUUAAGGUGGAAUACUCCUUUACACCAAGAUUUUUUGGUCUAAGAUUUUGGAUGGAAUACUCGGUUAAACCAACAUUUUAGGUGCAUGUCCAAGGAUUUUUGGUGGAAUGUUCCUUUAAGGUGGAUGUUUGAGGACCUUGUAGGUGGAAUACUUCCUGAAACCAACCUUUUAGGUCAACAUUCAAAGAUUUAAGGUGGAAUAUUCCUUUAAAUCAACCUAAAUUUCAUAUUUUGUUCAUUAUCAAGUGAGAAACCUCAAUCCAGACUCCUCAUAAUGACGUUUGAGAUUUAUGCUGCUGUUAUUUGUUUAGUCCAGACUAAAUGACAGAAAUCCACAACUGUAAUUUAUUUCAGGACUCGGUUAUUAAAUGUCAAAACAAUCCAUGUGACUCUAAAAACUCAACAGCUGUACAAACUCUAAGAUUAAACUCUCUACAAGGAUCCAAAAUAAGUUGGACUUCUACAUGAGAGCUUUAAUUAUUCUUCAUCUACUUCCUGAAAAGUUUGGUCAAUAAAAAAGACAAAAACUAAUAUUUUCAGCUGAACUAAAGACAGACUGUGAU